Molecule: ribosomal RNA, 185 nt
Filed under: uncultured bacterium
Lineage: Bacteria
Description: partial 16S ribosomal RNA
Rfam family: Bacterial small subunit ribosomal RNA
Source: RNAcentral
CUGCAUGAAGCUGGAAUCGCUAGUAAUCGCAGAUCAGAAUGCUGCGGUGAAUACGUUCCCGGGUCUUGUACACACCGCCCGUCACACCAUGGGAGUUGGAAAUGCCCGAAGUCAGUGACCGAACCGAAAGGAAGGAGCUGCCGAAGGUGGAGCCGAUGACUGGGGUGAAGUCGUAACAAGGUACC